CCAUGAAAUAAUAUAUUUUAUUUAGUGGGUCAACUUGAUUUUUACAAAGAGACAAUUAUGCACCAAAGAUAAAAGUCUGCUGAUUCUAUUAUUCAGCAAUUUAAUUAUCUAAGCCAAAUUAACUACACUCACAAGAAAUGGAAAAGACAAAGAUAAGACAGGCGGCCAUGCAAACUUAAGAACCAUACGUAAGCUGAUCUUUUCACACAUAUACAGGGUGUUUACUUUGAAAUAUUUUAAAUUAUUUUGACUUAUUUUAUUUCAAACACAAAUAUUAGAGUAAAGGUGUUUAACUUAUUCGUAAGAUCAAAAUAAGUAAUCUCAGACACCUUCUAAACCUCCUUAUUAUGUUAGGCUGGCUGUGUUUAAGUAGAGUAUGUACAUUCGGAACUUGUCGGAUGGAUCUUCUUACUUUUCCCAAGCGACGACGACUCAUUACUUGUCUUCACUUCAUUAGUUUUCCCUGUCAUCACUUUUUUCUCCUCUUCUAUUCUCUUCAGUUUCUCCUUUUGAUGUUUUUCCAUAAUGUAAACUCUUGCACAACUUGCUCCCAGGGAAGACAUGGGCUAAACUUUAUAUAUGCGUGUGUGUGUGUGUAUAUAUAUAUAUAUAUAUUUGUAUAUGUAAAUAUGCUCUCGCUAUUUGUGCGUAUGUUUACU
This 659-nucleotide long non-coding RNA is filed under the name Carica papaya (papaya). RNAcentral describes it as "long non-coding RNA (CPAP_LNC004171)". Lineage: Eukaryota; Viridiplantae; Streptophyta; Magnoliopsida; Brassicales; Caricaceae. The record is from RNAcentral.